CUGACAGCCCUAAUAUUUAUACAAGAUUUUCAUACUCAGUCACUCUCAAAUUUUCAGGAUAAGCAGAGCGCGUGACUGUUGGACACUGGAUGAUUAGCCUUGACGGUCAUAUCCUGUGCGAGGGCAUCCAACCAACACUUGUGACGGGGCUGUUUUCAGUGCACUACAUUUUUAACCUACAGCACCAAGAGGAGGCUGUCUGUGCACUUGAAUUCAUUCAAAGGCAAGGCUUGUGUUACCUAAAAGACCUUUUUCAAAGCAGUCAUUCUGACAUGAAAUUGCGCUUCAUUUGAAUCAACUUGGAAAGAGGGUCCGAAGUCUGUCAGUCAAUCCCCGAGAUUGUAACUUUCCGGAUGAAGACAAGUGGUGGUUAGGGAGACGAAAAAACAGGGGAAACAGGGGGAAACACAUGCGAGCAGUAAGGACAAACUCCACAAACAAUACAACCAAGACUGGAAGACACAGUCCUCAGUGAAUGUUUUGACUUUCAACAUUUAAAUGAAUAAAUGUUUCAAGUUCCUGAGGCCAUAAAGUUGGCCACUAAGAACAUGUAUGCUUUGUUAAACAAACAUAUGCCUUGGCUUUUUCAAACUUUUAUUUUAAAAUAAUUUUGGCUUUAUUAAGCCAGCUGGAGAUAUGAUAGGAAACAGGAAGGGGGGGGCGCUA
Long non-coding RNA from Acanthopagrus latus (yellowfin seabream), 666 nucleotides. RefSeq lists it as uncharacterized. Lineage: Eukaryota; Metazoa; Chordata; Actinopteri; Spariformes; Sparidae. The transcript has 3 exons. The record is from RefSeq and is a predicted model, not a curated record.